GACGAACGCUGGCGGCGUGCCUAACACAUGCAAGUCGAACGGAACUUCUUUAAAGGAUUCCUUCGGAAUGAAUUUGAUUAAGUUUAGUGGCGACGGUGAGUAACGCGUGAGUAACCUGCCUCUAAGAGGGGAAUAACAUUCUGAAAAGAAUGCUAAUACCGCAUAAUAUAUAUUUAUCGCAUGGUAGAUAUAUCAAAGAUUUAUCGCUUAGAGAUGGACUCGCGUCCGAUUAGUUAGUUGGUGAGGUAACGGCUCACCAAGACCGCGAUCGGUAGCCGGACUGAGAGGUUGAACGGCACAUUGGGACUGAGACACGGCCCAGACUCCUACGGAGGCAGCAGUGGGGGAUAUUGCGCAAUGGGGAAACCCUGACGCAGCAACGCCGCGUGAAGGAUGAAGGU
This 401-nucleotide ribosomal RNA is filed under the name uncultured bacterium. RNAcentral describes it as "bacterial SSU rRNA". It matches the Rfam family "Bacterial small subunit ribosomal RNA", at positions 28 to 415 of the family's 1533-position model. The record is from RNAcentral.